UACAGAGGGGGCAAGCGUUGUUCGGAAUUACUGGGCGUAAAGGGCGCGUAGGCGGCCUGCUAAGUCGAACGUGAAAUCCCCGGGCUUAACCCGGGAACUGCGUCCGAUACUGGUGGGCUUGAAUCCGGGAGAGGGAUGUGGAAUUCCAGGUGUAGCGGUGAAAUGCGUAGAUAUCUGGAGGAACACCGGUGGCGAAGGCGGCAUCCUGGACCGGUAUUGACGCUGAGGCGCGAAAGCUAGGGGAGCAAACAGG
RNAcentral lists this ribosomal RNA (253 nucleotides) under uncultured bacterium. RNAcentral describes it as "partial 16S ribosomal RNA". It matches the Rfam family "Bacterial small subunit ribosomal RNA", at positions 524 to 776 of the family's 1533-position model. The record is from RNAcentral.